UACGGAGGGUGCAAGCGUUAUCCGGAUUCACUGGGUUUAAAGGGUGCGUAGGUGGGUAAGUAAGUCAGUGGUGAAAUCUCCGGGCUUAACCCGGAAACUGCCAUUGAUACUAUUUGUCUUGAAUACUGUGGAGGUCAGCGGAAUAUGUCAUGUAGCGGUGAAAUGCUUAGAUAUGACAUAGAACACCAAUUGCGAAGGCAGCUUACUACACAGUCAUUGACACUGAGGCACGAAAGCGUGGGGAUCAAACAGG
Molecule: ribosomal RNA, 253 nt
Filed under: uncultured bacterium
Lineage: Bacteria
Description: partial 16S ribosomal RNA
Rfam family: Bacterial small subunit ribosomal RNA
Source: RNAcentral